AAGACUAUACUUUCAGGGAUCAUUCUAUAGUGCUGUACUUGAGAAAUGUGUGUCUAAAGUGGUAGAUCUCGCUACCAUGAUGACGAUUAAAGAAUAUCCCGUUCAGAGCAUGAAUCGGGUGGUUAGAAGUGAUUUGCUCAUUUUCUUCCACCUUUGAUGACUGUUCCUUGUUCUUCAAUGAACGUGGAUGAAGGGAAUAGUUCUGAGUGGA
Molecule: small nucleolar RNA, 211 nt
Filed under: Oncorhynchus tshawytscha (Chinook salmon)
Lineage: Eukaryota; Metazoa; Chordata; Actinopteri; Salmoniformes; Salmonidae
Description: Small nucleolar RNA U3
Rfam family: Small nucleolar RNA U3
About the family: Small nucleolar RNAs (snoRNAs) are involved in the processing and modification of rRNA in the nucleolus. There are two main classes of snoRNAs: the box C/D class, and the box H/ACA class. U3 snoRNA is a member of the box C/D class.
Source: Rfam by way of RNAcentral